AGUCGAGCGAUAGUUAGGGGCAACUCUAAUGAAAGCGGCGGACUGGUGAGAAACGCGUGGGUGACCUGCCUUUAGGAUGGGGAUAGCCGUUAGAAAUAGCGGGUAAUACCGAAUACGUUCGCUUAACUGUGGUUGAGUGAAGAAAGGAGCUACGGCUCCGCCUGGAGAUGGGCCCGCGUCCCAUUAGCUAGUUGGGGGUGUAAAGGACCACCAAGGCGAAGAUGGGUAGCCGGCCUGAGAGGGUGAACGGCCACACUGGGACUGAGAUACGGCCCAGACUCCUACGGGAGGCAGCAGCUAAGAAUAUUCCACAAUGGACGAAAGUCUGAUGGAGCGACGCCGCGUGGAUGAGGAAGGCCGAAAGGUUGUAAAAUUCUUUUGCGGAUGAAGAAUAACCGGGGCAGGGAAUGGCUUCGGGAUGACGUUAGUCUGCGAAUAAGCCCCGGCUAAUUACGUGCCAGCAGCCGCGGUAACACGUAAGGGGCGAGCGUUGUUCGGAAUUAUUGGGCGUAAAGGGCGCGUAGGCGGCCUAGUAAGUCUGAUGUGAAAACCCCGGGCUCAACCCGGGAACUGCAUUGGAAACUGCGAGGCUUGAGUCACGGAGGGGGAAUCGGAAUUCCUGGUGUAGGGGUGAAAUCUGUAGAUAUCAGGAAGAACACCGGUGGCGAAGGCGGAUUUCCAGCCGAUGACUGACGCUGAGGCGCGAAAGUGCGGGGAGCAAACAGGAUUAGAUACCCUGGUAGUCCGCACUAUAAACGAUGCACACUAGGUGUCGGGGCGAGCGUCUCGGUGCCGGAGCGAACGCGAUAAGUGUGCCGCCUGGGGAGUAUGCCCGCAAGGGUGAAACUCAAAGGAAUUGAC
RNAcentral lists this ribosomal RNA (861 nucleotides) under uncultured bacterium. RNAcentral's name for it is "bacterial SSU rRNA". It matches the Rfam family "Bacterial small subunit ribosomal RNA", at positions 60 to 914 of the family's 1533-position model. The record is from RNAcentral.